Molecule: ribosomal RNA, 229 nt
Filed under: uncultured bacterium
Lineage: Bacteria
Description: partial 16S ribosomal RNA
Rfam family: Bacterial small subunit ribosomal RNA
Source: RNAcentral
CGGGUGAGUAAUGUAUGGGGAUCUGCCUGAUGGCGGGGGAUAACUACUGGAAACGGUAGCUAAUACCGCAUAAUGUCUGCGGACCAAAGCGGGGGACCUCCGGGCCCUCGCGCCAUCAGAUGAACCCAUAUGGGAUUAGCUUGUAGGUAAGGUAACGGCUUACCUAGGCGACGAUCCCUAGCUGGUCUGAGAGGAUGAUCAGCCACACUGGGACUGAGACACGGCCCAG